CGUGUAGGUGGGUCUUUAAGUCGAUGGUGAAAUCCUGCGGCUUAACCGCAGAAUUGCUUUCGAAACUGGAGAUCUUGAGUGCGGCAGAGGGAGAUGGAAUUCAUGGUGUAGCGGUGAAAUGUGUAGAUAUCAUGAAGAACACCGGUAGCGAAGGCGGUCUCCUGGUCCGCAACUGACACUGAGGCGCGAAAGCGUGGGGAGCAAACAGGAUUAGAUACCUUGGUAGUCCACGCCUUAAACGAUGGGUACUCGGUGCUGGACCGCGAGGUUCAGUGCCUAAGUUAACGCAUUAAGUACCCCACCUGGGAGUACGAUCGCAAGGUUGAA
This 327-nucleotide ribosomal RNA is filed under the name uncultured bacterium. RNAcentral's name for it is "bacterial SSU rRNA". It matches the Rfam family "Bacterial small subunit ribosomal RNA", at positions 568 to 898 of the family's 1533-position model. The record is from RNAcentral.